This 1325-nucleotide ribosomal RNA is filed under the name Paraclostridium bifermentans. RNAcentral's name for it is "16S ribosomal RNA". The stretch from base 716 to 1310 matches the Rfam family "Bacterial small subunit ribosomal RNA", at positions 874 to 1520 of the family's 1533-position model. The record is from RNAcentral. Lineage: Bacteria; Bacillati; Bacillota; Clostridia; Peptostreptococcales; Peptostreptococcaceae.
UAUAUUUGAGAGUUUGAUCCUGGCUCAGGAUGAACGCUGGCGGCGUGCCUAACACAUGCAAGUCGAGCGAUCUCUUCGGAGAGAGCGGCGGACGGGUGAGUAACGCGUGGGUAACCUGCCUAAUAUCUUUGAAAGCGAUUCAGCUUUAUGUGAUGAAUUUAAAAUACAAGUAGAAGGAACAAGAGAUGGAUUAUUAGAGUUAAUAGCUGAAACAGAUGAUGAAUUAUUAGAAAAAUAUUUUAGUGGAGAAGAUUUGACAGAAGAAGAUAUUAAGAGAGGUACAACUAUAGGUAUUCAAAAUGGAGAUAUAAUACCAGUUAUAUGUGGAUCUACAAUAAACAAUGUAGGUACAGAGGAGAUAUUAAGAAUUAUAUCUAGCUAUAUUCAACCUAAGUGUGUAGAUGAAAAUGAUAAGUUAAAUGGAAGCAUAUUUAAAACUAUAGUAGAUCCUUUUAUAGGAAAAAUGUCAUACGUUAAAAUAUUACAAGGAAACAUAAAAAAAGAUGUAGAAGUAUAUAAUGUAAACAAGUCUGUAAAAGAAAAAAUUUAUAAUAUAUAUACUAUGAAUAAUAACGAGUUAUCUGAGAUACAAUGUGCUAAUGCAGGUGAUAUAGUUGUUAUGACUAAGGUAAACUCUUUGCAGACAGGAGAUUUUAUAUCUAUAAAUAAAAAUGAUAAAGCAGAUGAACAACUCAACUUCCCUAAACCUCAAAUAUAUUUUGCAUUACAAGCUAAAAAUAAAGGUGAUGAAGAUAAAAUUAGUGCUGUUUUAAGUAAAAUAUCAGAAGAAGAUCCUACGAUUACAUGGAGUAGAAAUGUAGAAACUAAACAAGUUUUAAUUGGUGGGCAAGGUGAGCUUCAUAUAAAUAUAGUUAAAAAUAAAAUGAAAGAAAAAUUUGGUCUAGAUGUAGAUUUAACAGAUUUAAAAGUUGCCUAUAGAGAAACUAUAAAAGGGAGGAAGGUGGGGAUGACGUCAAAUCAUCAUGCCCCUUAUGCUUAGGGCUACACACGUGCUACAAUGGGUGGUACAGAGGGUUGCCAAGCCGCGAGGUGGAGCUAAUCCCUUAAAGCCAUUCUCAGUUCGGAUUGUAGGCUGAAACUCGCCUACAUGAAGCUGGAGUUACUAGUAAUCGCAGAUCAGAAUGCUGCGGUGAAUGCGUUCCCGGGUCUUGUACACACCGCCCGUCACACCAUGGAAGUUGGGGGCGCCCGAAGCCGGUUAGCUAACCUUUUAGGAAGCGGCCGUCGAAGGUGAAACCAAUGACUGGGGAGAAGUCGUAACAAGGUAGCCGUAUCGGAAGGUGCGGCUGGAUCACCUCCUUUCU